GUCACGCUGUAAACGAUGUCGAUUUGGAGUUUGGGGGCAUGACCCUUGGGCUCCGGAGCUAACGCGUUAAAUCGACCGCUGGGGAGUACGGCCGCAAGGUUAAAACUCAAAUGAAUUGACGGGGGCCCGCACAAGCGGUGGAGCAUGUGGUUUAAUUCGAUGCAGCGCGAAGAACCUUACCUGGUCUUGACAUCCAUAGAAUCUUUCAGAGAUGAGAGAGUGCCUUCGGGAGCUAUGAGACAGGUGCUGCAUGGCUGUCGUCAGCUCGUGUUGUGAAAUGUUGGGUUAAGUCCCGCAACGAGCGCAACCCCUAUCCUUUGUUGCCAGCACGUAAUGGUGGGAACUCAAAGGAGACUGCCGUUGAUAAAGCGGAGGAAGGUGGGGACGACGUCAAGUCAUCAUGGCCCUUACGACCAGGGCUACACACGUGCUACAAUGGCGUAUACAAAGGGAUGCGAAGGUGCGAACUGGAGCGGACCUCACAAAGUACGUCUAAGUCCGGAUUGGAGUCUGCAACUCGACUCCAUGAAGUCGGAAUCGCUAGUAAUCGUGAAUCAGAAUGUCACGGUGAAUACGUUCCCGGGCCUUGUACACACCGCCCGUCACACCAUGGGAGUGGGUUGCACCAGAAGUAGAUAGCUUAACCUUCGGGAGGGCGUUUACCACGGUGUGGUUCAUGACUGGGGUGAAGUCGUAACAAGGUAACCA
RNAcentral lists this ribosomal RNA (708 nucleotides) under uncultured Enterobacteriaceae bacterium. RNAcentral describes it as "bacterial SSU rRNA". It matches the Rfam family "Bacterial small subunit ribosomal RNA", at positions 794 to 1502 of the family's 1533-position model. The record is from RNAcentral. Lineage: Bacteria; Pseudomonadati; Pseudomonadota; Gammaproteobacteria; Enterobacterales; Enterobacteriaceae.